Molecule: ribosomal RNA, 522 nt
Filed under: Pseudomonas sp.
Lineage: Bacteria; Pseudomonadati; Pseudomonadota; Gammaproteobacteria; Pseudomonadales; Pseudomonadaceae
Description: bacterial SSU rRNA
Rfam family: Bacterial small subunit ribosomal RNA
Source: RNAcentral
GCUUGCUUCUCUUGAGAGCGGCGGACGGGUGAGUAAUGCCUAGGAAUCUGCCUGGUAGUGGGGGAUAACGCUCGGAAACGGACGCUAAUACCGCAUACGUCCUACGGGAGAAAGCAGGGGACCUUCGGGCCUUGCGCUAUCAGAUGAGCCUAGGUCGGAUUAGCUAGUUGGUGAGGUAAUGGCUCACCAAGGCGACGAUCCGUAACUGGUCUGAGAGGAUGAUCAGUCACACUGGAACUGAGACACGGUCCAGACUCCUACGGGAGGCAGCAGUGGGGAAUAUUGGACAAUGGGCGAAAGCCUGAUCCAGCCAUGCCGCGUGUGUGAAGAAGGUCUUCGGAUUGUAAAGCACUUUAAGUUGGGAGGAAGGGCAGUAAAUUAAUACUUUGCUGUUUUGACGUUACCGACAGAAUAAGCACCGGCUAACUCUGUGCCAGCAGCCGCGGUAAUACAGAGGGUGCAAGCGUUAAUCGGAAUUACUGGGCGUAAAGCGCGCGUAGGUGGUUUGUUAAGUUGGAUGUG